UUUUAUUUCGCGAGAUUUGCUUGGCGCGGUGACCCAUGUGAGAGACACAUCCUGCAAAAAUCAUUCUCCCCUGCAGAGAAAAAGGCUAUGGAGCGCUGAACAUUUUCACUUGUAUCCCCCUUCCCCCAAAGGCCCCGUAUUUGUUGUGAUCAGAUUUCUGUAACAAAAAUUGGUGGCUAUCGGGCGGUGGAACGAUGUGGAUUCAGAUUCGGACCAUAGACGGAAAGGAGACACGAACCAUUGAGGAUCUUUCCAGGCUGACCAAAAUUGAGUAUCUGAGGCUGAAAAUCAAGGAUAUCUUCAAUGUAAACCCCCAACAACAACGGUUAUUCUAUCGGGGCAAACAGAUGGAAGAUGGCCACACGCUAUAUGACUACAACGUGGGGCUGAACGACAUCGUCCAGCUGCUAAUCCGUUCUCAGGCAGGGGAUGCUCCCGACAGCCCCCUCGUCCCGCCAAUUGCACCCCCUGUCACCCCUAAGGACUGUGACACCAUGUCCAGUAGUACAGCUCUUCCCCCCACCACCUCCAACACCACGGCUGGUGCAGCUACCACCCCCUCCCAAUCCAAGCCUACCAUAGUGGCCCCCAAACCCAUCCCUACCCUCACCACAGUCAACAACAACACAACCACAACCACCAGUAACAGCAGUACCACCAACACCAGUACCACUAGUACCAAAACCAGUAACACCAGUGAUCCCAAUAACAACAGGGCCAAGUCUUCUAGCCCACCAGCAGCGCUGGAGAAGCUCGACAACCAGCCAUCAACCUCUACACGUCCCUUCCUCAUAGACGCCGGCAUUGGGGUGUUCAAGAUAAAUGAGUUGGUGGACUGCAGAGACAUAAGCAUCGGUGCCUGGUUUGAAGCCUGCAUCGACAACGUGACGCGAAUCCCAAAGGGUCAGAACAGCAACAGCAAAGCUCCUACAGCGGGGAAGGUUGGCAGGCCUAGCAAAAGGACUAAUGGCAAGCUGGAGACAGAGCCGGGCCAAGGCCAAAGCCACCCCUCCUCCUCCACGGACACUAAUAAUGGAAAUAAUUAUUCUAUGUUAAACUCGGACAGUGGGCCAGGGGCUGGGUCCUCCGCUUCUCAAACAGACUCUACUGCCACAGACAAAGAGAAGGAGGAUGUCACGUACCAUAUCAAAUAUGACGAUUACCCUGAGAACGGCGUGGUGGAGAUGUGCGGUGGUAACGUGAGGCCGCGGGCUCGGACUCUGCUCCGGUGGGACCAGCUCAGUGUGGGCCUUGUUGUCAUGGUGAACUACAACAUUGAGAUCCCAGAGGAGAGGGGGUUCUGGUUUGACGCUGAGAUUACUGCGCUCAAUGAGAUCUCCAGAACCAACAAGGAGGUCCGCGUCAAGAUCCUACUGGGAGGGCCAGGGGACGUCAUCCCAGACUGUAAGCUGUUGUUUCUGGAUGAGAUCUAUCAGAUUGAGAAGACUGGAGCGCCCUCACUGUCUGCUGCAGAUGGCCAGUUCAAACGGAAGAGCGGGCCCGAGUGUAAGCACUGCAAGGCGGACCCCGACUCUGAGUGCAGGUUCUGCUCGUGCUGUGUGUGCGGAGGGAAGCAGGACGCCCACAUGCAGCUGCUGUGUGACGAAUGUAACAUGGCCUUCCACAUCUACUGCCUCAACCCACCGCUCUCCACUAUACCGGACGACGAGGACUGGUACUGUCCCACCUGUAAGAAUGACACUAGCGAGGUUGUGAAGGCUGGUGAGAAGCUGAAGGCCAGUAAGAAGAAAGCAAAGAUGCCAUCAGCCCAUACAGAGAGUCAGAGGGACUGGGGCAAGGGUAUGGCCUGUGUGGGGCGCACUAAGGAAUGUACCAUCGUCCCCUCCAACCACUACGGGCCCGUCCCUGGUGUUCCCGUGGGAACAACAUGGAAGUUCCGCGUUCAGGUGAGUGAAGCGGGAGUGCACAGGCCCCACGUGGGAGGUAUCCACGGCCGCAGUAACGAUGGCUCCUAUUCGCUGGUGCUGGCCGGAGGCUUCGAGGAUGAAGUGGACAGGGGAGAUGAGUUCACCUACACGGGCAGCGGGGGUCGCGACCUUUCAGGGAACAAACGCAUCGGGGAGCAUUCCUUUGACCAGACCCUAACCCACUACAACAGGGCCCUGGCGCUGAACUGUGACGCCCCCAUCAACGACAAGGACGGGGCGGAGUCCAGGAACUGGCGUGCGGGGAAGCCAGUGAGGGUGGUGCGGAGCUCCAAGGGACGACGCAUCAGCAAGUACGCCCCAGAGGAGGGCAACCGCUACGAUGGCAUCUACAAGGUGGUGAAGUACUGGCCGGAGAUAGGGAAGUGUGGUUUCCUGGUGUGGCGGUACCUGUUGCGGAGGGAUGACCUGGAGCCUGCUCCCUGGACACCUGAGGGCCUGGAGCGCAUCCAGAAACUGGGCCUAGCUGUACAGUAUCCUCCAGGCUACGUGGAGGCCAUGGCCAACAAGACCAAGAAGGAGGCUAACGCUCGACCAGGGUGCACUAGGAGCAAGAAGCAACCUGGACGGGGACGGCCACGGCUACUCCCCCUGGAGAAGAAGGUGAAGGAGGACGAGAAGAAGCCCAUGGAGGGUACAGAACAGCCACAGAGCAACGGCAGUCAGAAGACACCCAAGGACAAGGAGACAGAGGUGUGUAGGGAGUCGGCGGAGCCCCGAGCCAAGCGUCUGAAGAUGGAGGAGGCGUUCCAGCUGACAGAGCAGCAGCAGAGCCUCAUCAAGGAGGACCAACCCAACAAGAAGAACUGGGACGAGGCCAUGGGACACCUCAAGGAGGGGCCGAUAAUCCAUCCACCUGGCAGGUGUAACAUCCAACCAGCCUCACAACCGCAGACCACGUGCAACCACACCAGCCCAGGACCUCCACAUCCAGCUUAUUCACCUGCGGGGUCAUCUGAGGAGGGGGAAGGGGGGUGCUGAGGAGUAUUUCUGUCUGUAAUAAAGCCCUUUUGUGGGGAAAAACAAAUUCUGAUUGGCUGGUGAACCUGGCUCCCCAGUGGGUGAACCACUGGCUCCCCAGUGGGUGAACCACUGGCUCCCCAGUGGGUGAAUCCAUAGAUUAGGGCUUAAUAAAUGUAUUUUAAUUGACUGAUUUCCUUCUACACAAUACUGCCUCACAAUGUAGUCUCCUGACUUCCUACUUCUAAACAAUAGCUGAACCAACACAAGUCUCAGCUAGCUACACAACCUACCUACAAGGACUUGUAUGUACUUCUAUUAAAUGAAAUUAAGCAGAUGAUCCAUGGCUAACUAAGAUGUGUGAUGCUGCUGUUACUAUUGUGACAGCUGUGCCUGUGUUCCUGUCUUUCUCUGUAGAACUUCUUGAGGAAGGUGGAACAGACCUUCAUGUGUGUCUGCUGCCAAGAGCUGGCCUACCAACCGGUCACCACUGUCUGCGCGCACAACGUCUGCAAGACCUGUUUGCAGCGGUCUUUCCGAGCGGAAGUGUACACCUGCCCUGCAUGUCGCCACGACCUGGGUAAAGAUUACAUCAUGGUCCUCAACAAAACUCUACAGCUGCUGUUGGACCAGUUCUUUCCUGGGUACAGCAAGGGCCGAUGAGGCCACACACACACGCGCACACACACUACAUGUACACGGCGACACACACAUAGAUACACACAUUUGCACUUACACAAGUAGUUACACAAAUCACAUACCGAUGAUGCACACAUACAAAACCUACGUAUAGACACAUUGGUACACACAUACAUGCACCUGUUGAACUUGGACUGUCCCCAUUAACUUCACCAGCCUGAAAUCAUCCAUGCCUCAGAAGACCUCUCCUGAGCACCACCCACCCCUAACCUUGCCAUGGAUUCCCUUCCUGGGUACCACCACCCCUUAACACCCCAAAGGGUUCCCUCCUUCCCAAGCCUUCCACGUCCCCAGUCCGCAGAACUUAGCAGUUCAUCACCUGUCCAUGUGAGGAACAGCCAGCGAGGAUGCUAAUGCUAACCAUAGCCAUGUAGAGAAUAUAUGGCUCUAACGCUACGUAGCCUCCAGGGGAAGGUGCCUGAAGUCAGCACCUAUAGGGGUCAGGGGUUCGGGGUCACAACCUAGAGAAGCGGGGUGAUGGGAAAUGUAGUGUACAAUGUUAGUUUUUUUCUUUGUUACUGGUCCAUUUGAAUUUCAGCCUGUUCCUCCCUUUCUUCUUCUCUCUGAUCUCCGUUCCUUUUUUGUUUGUUUGUUUUCGUGGUGAUGUCCUUUUCAUUCAAAGAAUUCAGGAUUUUUUAAAGACAUGCAAAUGCAAAAUGUUUUAAAUUAUGCUAUGGUCUCUAAAGCAGCAAACUGUGAUGUGCAUUCCUUCCUACUGCUCAAGGCGCAAAUAUACAGAACAGAAAAUAAUUUUCUCUCUUCUGUAUCAACUCGCAAGCUAAUAGUUUCCUUCUCCUCUGUGAGCUUUGCUUCGUCCCCACCGUCCCUAGGGUUGCAAGAUUCCGGUAACUGCCCAACAUUCCAGGUUUUCCAGAAAUCCCGGUUGAAAGAUUCAUGGAAUCAGGAGGGAGAAAGCAGGAAAUCCAGGAAUCUUUCAACUGGGAUAUUUAGAAAACCUAUGAGAAUUUUGGGAACAUUUGCAAUCUUACCUGCCCCCAGUCGUGUACUCUACCUACCACUGCUGUGGACAACAGUAACUGUCUAGACGUCAAGUGGACGCUUCGCUUCAGCUUUAGUGUUGUGUUCUGUUUUUAUUGCACUUAUUGAAGAAAAAGAUGUUGAAAAUAAAAAAAGUAAUGUCUAUAAUUUCCAAUAAUGCUACUACAACAUAUGGCAUUUUUCUAUAAUUUUAGUUGCCUAUUCUAUUUUAGUCAUUAGUUAUUAUUUUAUGUGGCAACCUUUACCUGCUGCUGUCAGCCUGAUUGAAGAGUUUCAUUGCUUCAUAUUGUGAUCUGAAAUUUUAUACAUGGUAUAAUAAUACUUGAUAUGCACCUAUUAAAUAUUUUGAUUCCAGAAAAAAAA
RNA transcript from Salmo salar (Atlantic salmon), 4967 nucleotides. It is a transcript of the gene named E3 ubiquitin-protein ligase UHRF2, with no coding region annotated. The record is from RefSeq and is a predicted model, not a curated record. NCBI's taxonomy places the organism in Eukaryota, Metazoa, Chordata, Actinopteri, Salmoniformes, Salmonidae.